RNAcentral lists this ribosomal RNA (207 nucleotides) under uncultured bacterium. RNAcentral describes it as "partial 16S ribosomal RNA". It matches the Rfam family "Bacterial small subunit ribosomal RNA", at positions 568 to 774 of the family's 1533-position model. The record is from RNAcentral.
UGUGUAGGUGGUUUUAUUAGUCUUCCGUUAAAGACUCGGGCUCAACCCGAGGAAUGCGGAGGAAACGGUAAGACUAGAGUGUGAGAGAGGUGAACGGAACUCAUGGUGUAGGAGUGAAAUCCGUUGAUAUCAUGGGGAACACCAAAGGCGAAGGCAGUUCACUGGCUCAUUACUGACACUGAGACACGAAAGCGUGGGUAGCGAACG